This 312-nucleotide ribosomal RNA is filed under the name Salmonella enterica. RNAcentral describes it as "bacterial SSU rRNA". It matches the Rfam family "Bacterial small subunit ribosomal RNA", at positions 1 to 309 of the family's 1533-position model. The record is from RNAcentral. Lineage: Bacteria; Pseudomonadati; Pseudomonadota; Gammaproteobacteria; Enterobacterales; Enterobacteriaceae.
AAAUUGAAGAGUUUGAUCAUGGCUCAGAUUGAACGCUGGCGGCAGGCCUAACACAUGCAAGUCGAACGGUAACAGGAAGCAGCUUGCUGCUUCGCUGACGAGUGGCGGACGGGUGAGUAAUGUCUGGGAAACUGCCUGAUGGAGGGGGAUAACUACUGGAAACGGUGGCUAAUACCGCAUAACGUCGCAAGACCAAAGAGGGGGACCUUCGGGCCUCUUGCCAUCAGAUGUGCCCAGAUGGGAUUAGCUAGUUGGUGAGGUAACGGCUCACCAAGGCGACGAUCCCUAGCUGGUCUGAGAGGAUGACCAGCC